RNAcentral lists this long non-coding RNA (529 nucleotides) under Phoenix dactylifera (date palm). RNAcentral describes it as "long non-coding RNA (PDAC_LNC020783)". Lineage: Eukaryota; Viridiplantae; Streptophyta; Magnoliopsida; Arecales; Arecaceae. The record is from RNAcentral.
ACUUCAACGGAUCUACAGUUAUGCCAUUAACUUUUGAUUCCUUCCCAUUUUACCCCUUAUAUCAAUUUUAAAGGACUAUUCUAUCCCUUUUUAUAUAAAAAAAAUUUUGGGGUUAUUACAUCCUCCCCUCCUUAUAUAAAAUUCGUCCUCGAAUUUAAAAGAGUAAAUUACCUGAUUACUCAAAGGGGUGAGUGUAUCUGGUCUUCAUAUUCUGCUCGGUGUGGUAUUGAGAAUCAAAUAAAUUAGGAGUGUUUUACCUUCUAUCUCUACCACAUAGGUAGGAUAUACAUACUUCGCUUCUAUACUAUCCUCUACAGGUGUAUUAAUAGCUAAGGGAAUAUGCAUCAAUAUCUUAUCCUUAGCUAACUUUUUAGCAAAAUAAGGGAACACAAAUGAAUGGGUAGCUCCAGAAUCAAAUAACACUCUAGCUUUAAUCUUAUCAAUGAGGAGCAUACCUGUCACAGCUGCAUUCGAUGCCUGUGCCUCCUGUGGAUUUACCGUGAACACCCUUCCUUGCCCUCUGCCUACU